Molecule: ribosomal RNA, 484 nt
Filed under: uncultured bacterium
Lineage: Bacteria
Description: partial 16S ribosomal RNA
Rfam family: Bacterial small subunit ribosomal RNA
Source: RNAcentral
AUUGAACGCUGGCGGCAGGCCUAACACAUGCAAGUCGAGCGGAUGAAGGGAGCUUGCUCCUGGAUUCAGCGGCGGACGGGUGAGUAAUGCCUAGGAAUCUGCCUGGUAGUGGGGGAUAACGUCCGGAAACGGGCGCUAAUACCGCAUACGUCCUGAGGGAGAAAGUGGGGGAUCUUCGGACCUCACGCUAUCAGAUGAGCCUAGGUCGGAUUAGCUAGUUGGUGGGGUAAAGGCCUACCAAGGCGACGAUCCGUAACUGGUCUGAGAGGAUGAUCAGUCACACUGGAACUGAGACACGGACAAGACUCCUACGGGACGCAGCAGUGGGGAAUAUUGGACAAUGGGCGAAAGCCUGAUCCAGCCAUGCCGAGUGUGAGAAGAAGGUCUUCGGAGUGUAAAGACCGUUAAGUUGGGGGGAAGGGCAGUAAGUUAAUACCUUGCUGUUGUGACGGUACCAACAGAAUAAGCACCGGCUAACUUCGUG